ACCGAUGACGAGAAGUCGCGGGUCCGAGUGGUGAGGAACCCAGCUCACGCUGAGG
This 55-nucleotide small nucleolar RNA is filed under the name Methanopyrus kandleri AV19. RNAcentral's name for it is "Small nucleolar RNA sR28". It matches the Rfam family "Small nucleolar RNA sR28". The record is from Rfam by way of RNAcentral. Lineage: Archaea; Methanobacteriati; Methanobacteriota; Methanopyri; Methanopyrales; Methanopyraceae.